Molecule: ribosomal RNA, 253 nt
Filed under: uncultured bacterium
Lineage: Bacteria
Description: partial 16S ribosomal RNA
Rfam family: Bacterial small subunit ribosomal RNA
Source: RNAcentral
UACGUAGGGGGCAAGCGUUGUCCGGAUUUAUUGGGCGUAAAGAGCGUGUAGGCGGCCUGGAAGGUCAGCUGUGAAAACUCGAGGCUCAACCUCGAGACGUGGGUUGAAACCACCUGGCUAGAGUCCGGAAGAGGAGAGUGGAAUUCCCGGUGUAGCGGUGAAAUGCGCAGAUAUCGGGAAGAACACCCGUGGCGAAGGCGGCUCUCUGGGACGGUACUGACGCUGAGACGCGAAAGCGUGGGGAGCGAACAGG